RNAcentral lists this ribosomal RNA (425 nucleotides) under uncultured bacterium. RNAcentral describes it as "bacterial SSU rRNA". It matches the Rfam family "Bacterial small subunit ribosomal RNA", at positions 29 to 477 of the family's 1533-position model. The record is from RNAcentral.
AACGAACGCUGGCGGCAGGCUUAACACAUGCAAGUCGAACGCCCCGCAAGGGGAGUGGCGCACGGGUGAGUAACGCGUGGGAAUAUGCCCUUCGGUUCGGAAUAACACAGGGAAACUUGUGCUAAUACCGGAUACGAUCUACGGAUGAAAGAUUUAUCGCCGAGGGAGUAGCCCGCGUAGGAUUAGCUAGUUGGUGAGGUAAUGGCUCACCAAGGCGACGAUCCUUAGCUGGUCUGAGAGGAUGAUCAGCCACACUGGGACUGAGACACGGCCCAGACUCCUACGGGAGGCAGCAGUGGGGAAUUUUGGACAAUGGGCGCAAGCCUGAUCCAGCAAUGCCGCGUGAGUGAAGAAGGCCUCGGGUUGGUUAAAGGACUCUUUUGUUCUAGGGAAGAAAAGGUUAGGUGGCUAAUAUCACAACUAGC